UUGAUGGAUGAACAUCCACUAAUUUGGUACAACCUUCCAAAAUCAAAACUUCAAGAUUUGAUGCUGUUGUGAAGUCUGGUAUCUUGAUCAGGUUUUGAGACCCUUUGAGGUUGAUUAUUUUCAACUUAUACAAGGGCUGUUGAAGACAAUAAAUAAUUAGACAGAAAACAUAAUAAUGCUGAUUUUUGUGUUCAUUACCUUAACCAAAGCUUAAUCAUUAAUAUUAAAAUAAGCUAAAAUGAUGAGUUAAUUCUUACUUUGUUUCCCUUCCAUAGUUGUUCAAUGUGACUAUAUGGUAAAAGAAGUGCGACAAGGUUGUCCGGUUGAAAGCUUGAAGGCAAGUAUCUUAAAGGAUAUCCUUUCCAGUCUAAAAGUCUUAGCUCAUUAGAAAGAUAUUUGAUAUCAUCACAAUUUGAGACACAAAGCACUUUGAGCAAUCUCAAUUUUUUCAUCUUCGAGAAGGUAUCGGUACUCAAAUUGAGGAUCUUGCUUGAUUCCCUAAUAACCAUGAGCAAAAUAAAAAUAAACUUAAGAAUAUACAAAAACAUUCAAUAUCUAAAAGCCAUGCUGGAUCAAUAUUACUUUUUUAAGUAUCCAUAUCUAGCACUUAUAUCUAUUGCAUAUCUGAAUAUGGUAUUGAGAUAUGAUUAAUAACAUAUUAGAAAAUACUUUAUCUAACACUUAUAUUCGACUUUUAAUUACCUAAGCCUAAAAAAAUGGAACUAUUAUUUUGAUUUAUGUUCGGUGCACUGAUGUAUAGUUCUAUACAUUACCAGUGAACCAAAUGGUGGCAUGACCUGAAUUUAUUUUUAAAAACUUUUAAUGACAUGUUAUAACCUAGUUCAUUGAUAUAGAUUUUCAUUACAUCAAAUAUAAACCAUUAACAUUAGCAAAGACAAUGACACACAUCUCUUUAUAAUUUCUUUUGAAAGAGUAAUGUGUUCCUAUAUAAAUUUUAUAAAUAGAACAUAAAAAAAAAUUACGCUUUAAGGGUGUACUUGGUUGAGUGGAAAUGUCAAGGGAUAUGAGGAUGAAUUGUGCUUGGUAAAGAAGAAAAGUGAGAAGAAAAAAAAAGGGGAGAAAUGAUCAUUUUAUAUUAGUGAGAAGGGAAAUGUAGUAUCUACAAUACUAGGAGUACAUAUUGAUAAAUUUAUAUGUUUCUUUUCCUACCUUUUAUUGUCUAUGAUCAUGCCUUCUAUCACUUCGGUAGCCUGAAAGUAAUCAAGAAUCGAUAAUAAGAAGAUAAAAUUAAUGCUCUAAAUUGUAUGAUAAAACUUUUAAAAAUUUACCUACAUGUUCAACAUUAUAGCAAUCUUUUGGUCGAAAUACAGUAAAUAAAAUAUAUUCUAAGAGAGUAAUUCAAUAAAAUUAAACAUUUAAUUUACAAAUCAUUAUUAAUAUUUAUAAUCAACAAAUGAAAAUUAUCUUAAAGCUACUCAAUGUCACUUAAGGAUUGAUAUAUAAACAAAUUAGACUAAACUUUAGAUUUACACCAUAUAUUGAUAAAAAGAAAAUUUUGUAUGUAAAUUUUGUUUAAUGGUUUACCGUUUUUUUUGUUAGAACAUGAUGAACAUCCUUUUCCUUCCACAAUCUGCAACGUUUUCCAGGUUCAUUAAUACAUUUUUCUUCAACAAUUUUUCUUCCCAUUUCUUGCAACAAGGCAUGCAUCCACAAAUAUUGGUUGUCGUCAUCAACUUUUAUGAGAGAUUUCUUAAAGAGAACAUCAAUUCCAAUAUCUGGGAAAAACUCACAACCAUCCAAUACUUUCAUUACCAAAUCUUUCUUCUCCCCAUUAAAAAAACAUGCUAUAUCUAGAAAUAUAUUCUUCUCCCUUUCUUCUAAUCCAUCAAAGCUGAUUCUUAGUGUGUUAAGAAUUUCUCUGUUACAAUCUUGUUCAAGUCUUUCAAUUGCACUUCUCCAUUGAACUAUAUCUCUACCGCACAAAAAUGAACCCAAAACUUCAAGAGCUAAGGGAAGACCAUCAACAUAAUGUACAACAUGUUCAGAAAGUUGAUUGAAAUCAUCUUUUGUAGUUGUAUCACCACCAAAAGCUUUCAAAUUGAAAAGCCUUAGUGCAUCGUUGGUGUUCAAUGUUGUAGGCUUAUACACAUCAUCGAUUCGAUAAGAUCGGAGCAAAUGUUCAUCUCUUGUUGUUACAAUGAUCCUACUACCUAAACUGAACCAAUCACGCCUUCCAACCAAGCAUUUCAAGUGUUGUACAUUAUCAACAUCAUCAAGAACAACAAGAACUUUUUUGCUAGACAACCUGCGGCUAAUUAUGGCAUUCCCUUCAUGAACAUUGAAAAAAUUGAAGCAUUCAUUUGGCAAUAUUUGAUAAAGAAGUUGUUUCUGUAAAGAAACAAGUCCAUACUUGUUUGAAACUUCUCGAAUAUCAGCAAGAAAGGUUUUACCUUCAAAAUGAGGUGACAUUUGAGUGUAAACAACCCUUGCAAGAGUUGUUUUACCGAUGCCACCCAUUCCACAAAUUCCUAUAAUGCGGACAUCGUCUUCCCCAAUAUUUAUUUUCGAAUACAACUGCUCCAAACGUGAACUAAUUCCAACCAACUCAUCAUGAAGAACUGGAUAUGUCUGACAUAAUUUUGCUGAUAUCUUCUUAACGAUGUCUCCAAUAAACUCUGAUUCAUGCCUACAAUGAAAUUAAAUUUAGAUGCUAUAUUUCAAAUGCACUUCUUCAUUUUUAGUUCAGUGAAUAAUGAAAUAUAAUAUAGUUGGAAGCAAACAAAAAGCAAAAAUAAGACAGCAAGAUCUGUUAUAGCAUCAAAUGACACAACUUGCUCCUUAGUUGAAAUAUGGGAAUUCUCAAUUACACACAAAAUUAUAUUAAAAAAAAUGCAAUCCAAGAAAAAAAUAGUCAUUAAAAUUAGAAAAUAUAGAAGAAAAGAAAGAAAUACCUAUUAUGUAAAUGCCAUCCUUUGAUGUUAGCUACUUGAGUCAAAGCAUUUCGCCACUUUUGGAUCUUGUCUGUAUCUUCCUUGUACCUCUCUUGGUGUUUGGCGAAGGCUUCUUCAACUUUUCCUUUUUGUUUUCUUAAAUCGGAUGGAUCCACAUCAUAGAAAAUUGGAAAUACUUUAUGUCCGUUCACAUUUUUUUGUUGAACAAUCUCAGCAAGCUCCUCCAAGCACCAUCCUGAAAAGGUAUAGGUUUUUGAAAAAACGAUGACCGAGCACCAUGAUUGCUGAAUUGCAUUGAAGAGUUCAGGUGCGAUCUCUUCACCAGCCUCCAGCUUUGGAUCAUCUCUGAAGGUGACGAUCCCACUCCUCUUUAGAGCAUCAUAAAGAUGAUCCGUGAAGUUGUUGCGAGUAUCUUCACCUCUAAAACUCAAGAAAACAUCAUAUUUCUUUUUAGAAAUGGAGGAAGAAGUUGACGGUAACGAUAACAUGAGGAUGUAUGAAAGGAGAUGGAUAUCUCAAUCUGGUGUUCAAAAUCAGAAAAUAGAUCGCCCGAUACCCACAAAGAAACUAGAAAAAGUAAGUAUAUGAGCAUAUAUAUGAGCAGAGGGGCGGAAAUUAGGGGUCAAAAGAUGAGCAAUGGAUGUUCUUGCCAAGAAGUAUCCAAGAAGGUGAGAGUUGGCAAAAUGGAAAUUACGUAAUAAUUAAAAAGUUGGACGGUUUGUAUUUUACGUAUUUAAGAAUUAUGAGUAGAUAAGAUUAUGACUAAUAAUUAGAAUUAAUUUAUGGGCGGGUUAAAAAGUUUACCAAGCAACCAACUACUCGCAUCCACACGUGGAAGAUUUCUAUCUCCAGAUACAGAUCCAUUUCGACCGGCUUGUCCAGAAUUUCUACAAUGGAUAACAGCUCUGGAGAUGAUAACCCUGGCAGGGCAGAAGUAUUUUUUUUUUAAGGUACAAACUUAAAUUGUAACUUUUAUUAUAGUAAAAAUAUAAUUUUACAAUUUUAAUAGUUUAUAUCUUCAUAAUAUUUAAAAGAUUAAAUUAAAUUUUUAUUAUUUUUAAGAGGGUCAACGUGUAAUUUUGUUUUUAUUAAUUUAAAGUUUUAUCAUAUCAUUUUUUAUUUAUUAAAUGUGUGGUAUUUAUAUCUAGGAUGAUUCAACUUUUAAUUUCAAAAUGCAUUUUGCCUUUCUUUGAUUUACUACUCUCAAUAUCAAUUUCGUGUUGGUGUUAUGAACACCAAUAUAUUUCUAGUUCCAUCACAUCAAUCAAUGUUCCCAAUAUAAUGAAUCUAUUUGUACCAUCAAACAAUCACAAAGAAACUUAACUAAAUAGGAGAAAAAACCUAUUUGUACGAAAGGGCUAGUGAAGUAGUUUACACAAUUAUUGCUUCUUCCCUGAUCGGCCGGUUAUAAAAUUGAAAAUGUUUUGCAGCCGUUUAGGCUUCGGCCCUUCUUCCUCUGUUUCCUCGUCGAUAUCACGUUUUCGUUUUACAAAGGAAGUGCUGCCUGCGGAUCCAUCGUUUUCAGUAGAGUGAUGAUGGAUAUGUUCAAAGUUUGGAGAAGAUUGAGUGGUAUGGCACUGCACCUCUUUUAUAUCUUCCAAAUCUUUCUCAUACAUUAUUCUAACACCACACUUCUUCACAUUAACAGAAGGAUACCUUUUUGCAGAUUGGAAGGACAUCUCAAGCGAUAAAUUCUUGGUUUCCCAAUUAUCCUUUAAGGAUAAUGGAUAAAAUACUUCACGCGAGAAAUAACGAAGUAAAAGGUGGUCCUUCUUUAUGGGUCGUCGAUCAAAAUCAAUGAAAUUGAAAUCGACCCUUCGACUAUUUUUAACUUGAAAAACAGAUCCAUCACUACUAGAUUGUCCAGAAUAUGUAGAAUGGAUAUAAGCUGGACCACCGAUAACCUUUAUCUCGGAACCAUCAUCAUCGCCAAAAAUGCAGCAGACAGCAACUCCAAUCCAUUGUCUGUCAUUCUGAAUAUUGAAAGGCAAAGGUAUUUCAAUUACAGAGCCGCCUCUCUGUUGGCUGAACCAUUCUGGGAUUUCACUGCCAGGUAUAACAACAUCAAGUCUUUUUCUUGAAUUCUCAAAUGCCUGCAAAUUAAAACAUCAGUCGUUCUUGAAUUUGCAAAAUAAAAUAUCGGUGGUUCUGUAACUAAAACCAUGAAAAAAAAAAAAAAAGAGGGAUCAAUGAACCUUAAUAUGUGUUUUCAGCAAUGUUAUUGCACUCAUGUUCUCAGCCAAUCUGUAGCUGUUAAUGGCUAUAAAGUAAGACCGAUUAUGUUUCCAAUCACUUGUCUUCUUUGCUAGAAGCACAGGCAACGAUUCAAGCUCACUGCAAUUACACACUCCAAGCCUUUGAAGAUUGGAAAGACGAGCAAGAGACGCACCUAUGCUGGUGAAAUUGUUACCAUGAAGAUCAAGAAUUCUCAAUGAGGAUAGACCAGAAAUAUCACUAGGAAUAUCUCCUUCACCCAUAUUGCGCAGGCCGCACCUUGACAAACUAAGUUCUUCAAGCUUGGAGAGCCCAGUAAGAGAUGCCGGUAUUCUGUUGAAAUUGUUAACGCUAAGAUCAAGAAAUGCCAAAGAGGAUACACAAGAAAUAGCACUAGGAAUAUCUCCUUCACCAAGAUUGCAGCCCCUUAGUUUCAACUUUGUUAAUGACCUCAAACCGGAUAAUGAAGGUAGCAUUGGAGCUAUGAAAUUCAUCCUUCCUGUUUGGCGUACCUUGAAAAGCGAAAGGAGAUUUCUUUUCAACUUAUACGGACCCUUGCAUCCAUCAAAAGACAAAACUUUAAGAUUUUUCAAUUGAGAAAUGAAGGAUGGUGGUUCUUUUAUGGCUGUUUCACACAAGUCAAGCUUUUCCAAAGAUUCUGCUUGAUGCAAAUUCUCUGGCAAAUAUUCAACUUUAUAACAACCAGAAAGAUCAAGAGUUUUUAGAUGUUCCAUUUUCCCAUCAAUCUCUGGAAACCUUGCAAGAUUUGAGCAACCCGAAAGAAUUAAAGUUUCAAGGGAUUCCAUUUCAAUUUUGGUUGGAAGUCUCCUAAGACUUUUGCAAUCUCUUAAAUUCAAAAGUUUCAGUCUCUUAAGCACUCCAAGUGAUGGAUGAACAUCUACUAAUCUGGUACAAUCUUGCAUAAUCAACACUUCAAGAUAUGGGGCUGUUGUGAAGUCUGGUGUCUUGAUGAGGUUUUGGGACCCUUUAAGGCUGAUUAUUUUCAACUUAUACAAGGCCUGUCCAAAACAAUAACAGAUUAGAGAGAAAAGAGAAAACAUAAUAAACCUCAUUAUUAUUAUCUUAUUCAAAUUUUAACAGUUUAUAAUAUUAAAAACUUAAUAGUUUAUAUUAAAAUAAGCUAAAACACAAGGAUUAGAUGAAUUUAAUUCUUACUCUAUUUCCCUUCCAUAGUUGUUCAAUGCGACUAUAUGGUAAGAGAAGUAUGACAAGGUUGUCCGGUUGAAAGUUUGAAGGCAAUGAUUUUAAAGGAUAUCCUGUCCAAUCUAAAAAUCGUAGCUCAUUGGAAAGAUAUUUGAAAUCAUUACAAUUUGAGACGCAAAGCACUCUCAGCAAUCUUAAUUUUUUCAUCUUCAAGAAGACAUUGACACUCAAAUUGAGCAUCUUGCUUGAUUCUCUACAAAACCACGGGCAAACAAAAAAUAAGCAUUAAAAUAUACAAAAACAUUCAAUACCUAAAAGCUAUGUUUCUCCAAUAAUACUAUUUUUUAGGAUUUUCAUCCCUUACUUAUACCUAACAUGUGUCCAAAUAUGAGCAUUGAUAUAUGAUCCCUCAAGAACUCUUUAAAUAUAUAUGAAAAAACUUCUUAAAAAAAUCACACAUACCCAUUUUAGACAUAUAUCCCAUUUGACUUCGAAUUACCUAAGUUUUAAAAACUAGAAUUAAAAUCUUGAUUUAUAUUGGUGCAAUGAUAAUGCAUAAUUUUAUUUAUUAUUACUGAACGAAACAAUAACACAUCAUUAAAAAUUUAAUUGGUUUUAUUUUGAAAAUUUUUUGAUGACAUAUUAAAAUCUUAUUUAUAAAGAUACACCAUAGUGCAUCAAAUAUAAGCAUUUAAUAUUAGCAAGGAUAUAUCUUGAUUGUGUUUCUUUUGAAAGUGUUAUGCCUUGCUAGAUAAAUUUCAUAAAUAUAACAUUAAAUAUUAAGCAUUAAUGGUUUUUUUUUUCCAUCGAUUUUCAUUGGAUACUUUUACCAAAAAAAACCAAUAACAAUAUUAAUAAUACACAUCAUAAAUGUGUAUGUAUGUUUUCUUACCUUUGAUUGUCAAUGAUCAUGCUUUCAAUCAUUUCUGUAACCUAAAAAAGCAAGAAUAGAGAAUAAAUAACUUUUUGAUCGAAAUAGAGUAAAUAGAUCAUUUUAAAUAAGGUAAAACAUUUCCGAUGAGAGAGAUUCAAUUAAAUUAAAUACUUAUUUAUACAAAUCCUUAUUAACAGUAAUCAUCAACAAAAGGCAUUUAUGUCAGUCAAAUUUUUAAUGUACUCCUAUAUUAAUCAAUUGGACUAAGCCUUACUCAAUUUUAUUUCAGAAAUAAAGUAAAAUAUUUUCGAAUGAGAGUAAUUCAAUAAAAUUAAAAACUUAUAUUACAAAUCAUUAUUAAUAUUUAUAAUCAACAAAUGGAAAUUAUUUUAAAGCCACUCAAUGUCAGUUAAGGAUCGAUAUGUAAACUAAUUAGGCUAAAUUUUAGAUUUAUAUCAUAUAUUGAUAAAAAGAAAAUUUUGUAUAUAAUUUUUGUUGAAUGAUUUACCGUGUUUUUUGUUAGGACAUGAUGGACAUCCCUUUCUUUCCACAAUCUACAACGUUUUCCAGGUUCAUCAACACAUUUUUCUUCAACAAUUUUUCUUCCCAUUUCUUGCAACAAGGCAUGCAUCGUCAAACGUUUGUUGUCAUCACUAACUUUUAUCAAAGAUUUCUUAAUGAGAAUAUCGAUUCCAAUAUCUAGAAAAAACUCACAACCAUCCAAUGCUUUCGUUAUAAAAUCUCUCUUCUCACCAUUGAAAAAGCAUGCUAUAUCUAGAAAUAUAUUCUUCUCUUUUUCUUCCAAUCCAUCAAAGCUAAUUCUUAGCGUGUUAAAAAUUUCUUUGUUAGAAUCUUUUUUAAGUCUUUGGAUUGCACUUCUCCAUUGAACUAUAUCUCUAUCGCACAAAAAUGAACCCAAAACUUCAAGAGCUAAGGGGAGACCACCAGCAUAACUUACAACAUCUUCAGAAAGCUCAAUGAAAUCAUCUUUUGGCACUGUAUCACUAUGAAAAGCUUUCAAAUUGAAAAGUCUAAGUGCAUCGUCUGGAUUCAAUGUUUUAGGCUUAUACACACAAUCGACUCCGUAAGAUCGGAGUAAAUGUUCAUCUCUUGUUGUUACAAUGAUUCGACUCCCUAAACCAAACCAAUCACGCCUUCCAACCAAGCAUUUCAAGUGCUGUACAUUAUCAACAUCAUCAAGAACAACAAGAACCUUUUCACUGCACAACCUGCGGCUAAUUAUGGCAUUCCCUUCAUGAACAUUGAAAAAAUUGAAGCAUUUAUUUGGCAAGAUUUGAGAAAGAAGUUGUUUCUGUAAAGAAACAAGUCCACAUUUGUUUGAAACUUCUCGAAUAUCAGCAAGAAAGCUUUUGCCUUCAAAAUGAGGUGACAUUUGAGUGUAAACAACCCCUGCAAGAGUUGAUUUACCGAUGCCACCCAUUCCGCAAAUUCCUAUAAUGCGGACAUCAUCUUCCCCAAUGUUUAUUUUCGAAUACAAGUCCUUCAAAGGUAAGCUAAUUCCAACCAAUUCAUCAUGAACAAUUGGAUAUGUCUCACAUAAUUUGGCUGAUAUCUUCCUAACAAUGUCUCCGAUAAACUCUGAUUCAUUCCUACAACGAAAUAAAAAAUUGUUUCUAUCUUUCAAAUGCUCUUUGUCAUUUGUAGUUCAAUGAAUCAUGAAAUAUAAUAUAGUUGGAAGCAAAGAAAAAGCAAGAAUAAGACAGUAAGAUAUAUUAUGGCAUCAAAAAACACAACUUUCUCGUUAGAAUUCUUAAUUAAACACAAAAUUAUAAAAAAAUUACAUGCAAUCUAAGAAAAAACAAUUUUUUAGUCAUUAAAAUUAGGAAAUAGAGAAGAAAUGAAAGAAUUACCCAUUAUGUAAAUGCCAUCCUUUGAUCUUAGCUACUUCAGUCAAAGCAUUUCGCCACUUUUCGAUCUUGUCUUUAUCUUCCUUGUACCUCUCUUCAUGUUUGGCAAAGGCUGCUUCUACUUUUUCUUUUUGGUUUCUUAAAUCGGAUGGAUCCACAUGGUAGAAAAUUGGAAAUACUUUAUGUCCAUUAGCAUUUUUUUGUUGAACAAUCUCAGCAAGCUCCUCCAAGCACCAUCCUGAAAAGGCAUAGGUUUUUGAAAAAAUAAUUACCGAGCACCAUGAUUGUUGAAUUGCUUUGGAGAGUUCGGGGGCGAUCUCUUCGCCAGCCUCCAGCUUUGGAUCAUCCCUGAAGGUGACGAUCCCACUACUCUUUAGAGCAUCAUAAAGAUGAGCCGUGAAGUUCUUGCGAGUAUCUUCACCUCUAAAACUCAAGAAAACAUCAUAUUUCUUUCUUGAAAUGGGCGAAGAAGUCGAAGGUAACGACAACAUAAGGAUGUAUGAAAGGAGAAGGAUACCUCUAUCUGGUGUUCAAAAUGAGAAAAUAGAUCUCCCGAUCCUCGCAAAGAAAGUAGAAAAAGUAAGUAUAUGAGCAUAGGGGUGGAAAUUAGGGGGUCAAAGAUGAGUGAUGUAUGUUCUUUCCAAUAAGAAUCCAAGAAGGUGAGAGUUGGCAAAGUGGAGGCUGUUAAAAAUGUUGGACGGUUUGUAUUUUUCGUAUUUAAUAAUUAUAGAGUAGAUAAGAUUAUGACAAUAAUCAUUAGAAUAUAUCUUUAAUAAUUAUUCUUCGUUAUGGGCUGGUUUAAAAGUUGACCAAAUAACCAACUACUCGCAUGACACGUGGAAAACUUCUAUCUCGAAAGACAGAUCCAUUUCAGCUGCUUAAGAUUAUUUUUGGUUAGAGCCGACCCGAUUAAUGAACAAAUAAAUAAAAAUAAGAAAAAAAUUUAAAAUAUGAACACAACGUGGAAAAACUCUCUGAAAAUGAUAAAAAAUCACAGGUAAUGAUAAUUUUAUUAUAAUGGUAAAAGAAUGAAUGGUACAAAAGAUGAAGAUAAAAAUUAAACUCCGAAAACAAAGAACUCUCAAAACAUAAACACAAAAUUCUCUAAAAGUGUUAUGAAUUCUAAUCUCUAAUAGGUGUAUUUUCUAAUACUGUAAAAAAAUUCUAUUGAUAGGCUAAAUUCGUAUGUGAAAUAAUAAUAAAAUAAUCUAGACUAAUCAGAUUUUGAUUGAAACAAAUAAAUAGAGUUUAAUUGGAAGAUUAUUUAUCAAAUUUGACUGAAAUAUGAGUCAUACUCAACAAAUCUCCACAUUGACUGGUAUUUCCACAACGCCACCUUUGCUAAAGCCUACCAAGAGCCUAUCUUGACCUAUGUAGGGAAUUAAUUGAGUUGAAUUUGUGUUUAGAAGCUGGAAUGCUUCUAGACUUCAACUUGUGCAUUGUCAAAUCAAAACUAACCCGGAUCUGAUUUUCACAAACACAAUGCUCUAACUUUUUAAAAUCGACAUCUAAAAGAGAACCUCCGCUCCAAACGAGUUAACUUUGACUCCGUAAUAGAUGAGGGACGUCCGAUUUCACUAAUCACUGUAGAACCUUUAAAAAAAUAAAGACUGUCGGUCCUUUUACCUUUUAACAAACUGAGAGUCCCACAAGACACCUUAAUGUCGUUAGACUCGAUGUUGAUUCUGUAACUUUUCGAGUCUAAAUUACUUAAGCAGAUGAGAUUCUUUCGUAAAUCAGGUACAUACCUGACAUCUGAGAAUGCCCUAAUCGCCUCAUCGUGCAUCCUAAUUUUAUAGUAACAAUACCAAUUACCUUACCAGAUGAAUCAUUUCCCAUACGCUUAGCUCCACCUUCAACCGAACUGUAUGUGAAGAACCAUUCUCUAUUGGGACACAUGUGGAAAGAACAUCCCGAAUCUCGGAUCCACUUGGACAUAAGCUCAGAACUACCGCUUGUUAACACUAAUAAAAAAUCAUCACCGCUUUUGUCGGCCAAAUUAGCACAAGCUACACCUUCCUCAUUGCUCUCAAUAGCCUUUUUAAUUUGCAGUUUAUAACAAUCUGCUUUGACGUGACCUAACUUCUAACAAUAGCGAAAUCUUUUGUCUCGCUUCUUUCGCUUCUUUGAUGUUACCAAAAUAGAAGCUUGCCUAUUUUCCUUGCUAUCCAAACCAAACUCAUUGUUGAGUUUAUCUUUGCUUAACAAAUGACCCUUCACGUCCUCCAAUGAGAGAUUAUCUCUCCUAUAAGUCAUUGUUUCCCUGAAAGACUUGUAUAAAGGGAGUAAAGAGCACAAAGAUAAUAUAGUCUGCUCCUCAUCAUCAAUUUGAACCUCAACGUUAUUUAAAUCAUUUAAAAGAGUAAUGAAUUGACUGAUGUAAUCUCUAAGAAGCUCACAUUUGUUCAUGCGAAAUGUAAAUAGUUGUUGCUUUGGAGAGUUCGGGUGCGAUCUCUUCGCCAGCCUCCAGCUUUGGAUCAUCCCUGAAGGUGACGAUCCCACUACUCUAUAGAGCAUCAUAAAGAUGACCCGUGAAGUUCUUGCGAGUAUCUUCACCUCUAAAACUCAAGAAAACAUCAUAUUUCUUUCUAGAUAUGGGCGAAGAAGUCGAAGGUAACGACAGCAUGAGGAUGUAUGAAAGGAGAAGGAUAUCUGUAUCUGGUGUUCAAAAUCAGAAAAUAGAUCGCCCGAUCCUCGCAAAGUAUAUGGGCAUAGGGGCGGAAAUUAGGGGUCAAAGAUGAGUGAUGGAUGUUCUUUCCAAUCCAAGAAGGUGAGACUUGGAACAGUGGAGGAUAUUAAAAAUGUUGGACGGUUUGUAUUUUACGUAUUUAAUAAGAUUUUGACAAUAAUCAUUAGAAUAUGUCUUUAAUAAUUAUCCUUCGUUAUGGGCUGCUUAAAAAGUUUACCAAACAACCUACUACUUGCAUCGACACGUGGAAAACCUCUAUCUCGAAAGAUAAAUCCAUUUGGGCUGGUUAAGAUUAUUUUUGGUUGGAAAUCGAUUCGAUUAAGCAACGAAUAAGUAAAAAUAGUAAAAAAAUUGAGAAAUUAAACACAUAAAUUUAACAUGAAAAAACUCUCCGAAGAGGAUAAAAAAUCACAGGUAAAGAUAAUUUUAUUAUAAGGGAAAAAGAACGAAGAGUAUAAAAGAUGGAGAUAAAAAUUAAAUCCCGAAAAUAAAGAACCCUCAAAAUAUAAACCAAAAUUCUCCAAAAGUAUCAUGAAUUCUAAUCUCUAAUGGAUGUAUUUUCUAAUAUUGUAAAAAAAUCUAUUUAUUGACUAAAUUUGUAUGUCAAAUAAUAAUAAAAUAAUCUAAACUAAUUAGAAUUUGAUUAAAAUAAACCAAUAGAGUUUAAUUGGAAGAUUAUUUCAGUUGUUGUAAGGAUCAUGAGUUAUAGUGGUGAUGCUGGGUGAAUUCACAGACAAAAUAGCCUCAAAGGUUGCUAUUUGACAGAGAUUGAGAUGCACUGUAAAAACAAAUUCCACCAAUUACCCUCUUGGAUUUCAACACCUGACAAGGCUUUCACCCGAAGAAGUGCUCUAAGCUUGGUAAGAAAGAGAAUCUCUUCAACCGGAGCAAUUUUCGCAUUAAAAGUAAAAUCGUUACGCGCCUAUAUCGACCAUAACGCCGCUGCACAACAGAGGAGCCACCACUGCUUAAUAUCAUCUUUAAUUUUAUUUUUCAUAGAAGUUUGGCUUUAAAGCUAAUGUCAAAUGGAUUUAUGGAUGGUAUUUAAUUAUAAAUUAGACAAGGCUUGAGGGGUGGUUUUAAUUUAUAAAUUUAGGAAGCUUUAAAUGUAAUUUAUAUGGUAAUUAUUAUAAUGCAACGAUUAAAGAAAGAAAAGUUUGUGCAGAAUUUUCAAAAUUGGAUGGCGCUGGAAUUAUAAGUUGCAAUGAAUAAAAGAAAGAAAAAGUUGUGCAGAACUUUCACCAUAUUCACUAAAUUAUACUGCUUGCCCCUCCUUUUCUUUUCAAAUAUUUAUUUAUUUUUGGUGACGGGUUCAUGCUUUUAAUUUCUUUAUUACUAUGAUUACGAAUCAAACUUUAUUUUAAUAUUUGUGGUGUUUUAUAAGUUGUUACAGGGAGAUGUUUUAUUGGGAUCAAUUACAUUAAAGAUCACUAAAUUAUUAAUAAGUUUAUAUUUUGGUCAUUGAAUUUUAAAAAGUUAUUAAAUAAUCGCUAAAUUAUUUAAAUUUUUUUAUUUAAGUCACUGAAUUAUCCAAAAAAAUUUAUUAAAAUUAGUUAUUCGUUACAUUUUUUUAUUUUUCUUUUAAAUAUACAUAUAUUUAUUAGGAAAGGGUCAAAGGUUUUGAUUUGUUUAUUAUUAGGGAUAAAUGUCAAAUUUAUAUAUGAACUUUGGUUCAAAGUGCAAUUUGAUACAUGCAUGAAUUUUGACUUGGUGCAAUUAUCCACAUGAAAUUUAAAUUGUGGUUCAUAUAUAUACAUGAAAUUUAAUUUUGAUUCAAUUGAACGCAUUUAAAGAAAUGAAUACAUAUAAUUAUUUUCACAUUGAAUAAAAGUUCAUGUCUUCUGUUAUUAUCAUGGGUGAUACAUGGAUUUAAAGGAGCUCAUGUGUUCAUAGCGAUGAACUAUUAUUGAGUGUUGAUUUUCACUUACCGUAGUUAAAGUGAGUUGGGAGAGAGUUUACUUAAUUGUAUAAUAGUGAGGUUGCACCAAGUUAGGCUUGAAUAAUUUUAUUGUAUUGUGAAGUUUAUAGUGGAUUCAUCUGACAGAUGUAGGACGAGUUUCAAACUACACAAUCAUCUUGGUUGUGCUCUUUAUUUUGCUUGUUGCAUGUGUCAACUCAAAAAUUAAUUUUUGUUUUUCAAAAAAUUUAAACUUAUAAUUAUAUCAAUAGUCUCCAUUAAAAUUUAUCUAUCAAAUUAAAUAAACAACUCAAAAAUUAACUUGUCUGCACAUAAUUAUAGAUAUUAAACUUUUUUAACUUUUUGAAUUUUUAAUGAUUUUUGUCUCCAUUAUUGUAAAAAUUUAAAUUAAUUCCCAAAUAUGUAAUGCUUGUGAUUAUUUUUGGUUGGGGAUCGACCCGAUUAAGCAACGAACAAGUAAAAAUAACGGAAGAAUUGAGAAAUUGAACACACAAAUUUAACAUGAAAAAACUCUCUGAAGAAGAUAAAAAAAUUACAGGCAAAGAUAAUUUUAUUAUAAUGGCCAAAGAAAGAAAAUUACAAAAGAUAGAGAUAAAAAAAACAAAUAAUUUUACUAUAUUUAGAGUAUAAAUACACAAGGUUGAAAUGAAGCAAUGGUGGAGUAGGAAGGCAGUGUUAUUAAAUACUAAAUAAUUGUUUUGUGAAAAGGGGAUAUUUUUACUUUUUUAUCCAUUACAUAUCACUGUUCCUGUCUUCCUUUCCAUGUUUUUGUAAAAACCAGAUUCCCACCAUUCUUUUCUCUUUGGUAAAUGUUGAUUGCUGAGAGGACAAUCUUUUUGCACAUUCCCGAACUCUAUGGACAUGAUUUUUUGCAUCUCAAUCAAAGGUUUGAAAAUCCCAUUCAAAGCUGCAAAGUUGAAAUUAUGUUUAGGAUUUUAUUUUACUUCCGAAUGGUAUCCAAGUAUUGAACUUUCAUGUUCGUAUUAUGGACACGAAUAGUCCAUCACAUCAAUCAAUGUUGCGGAUAUAAAGAAUACUUAAUUAUGGUAAAUAAGAAUCUAUUUGUACAAUUAAACAAAAACAGGGAAAAAGAGAAACUUAAUUAAAUAGGAGAAAAUAUCUUGAAAAGGCUAGUCAAGUAGUUUACCACAAUUACUGCUUCUUCUCUGAACGACCCAUUAUAAAAUUGAAUUUUGUUUUCAUCUGUUUAGGUCCUCUGUUUCCUCGUGGAUAUUACGUUUUCGUUUUACAGGGGAAGUGCUACCUGCGGAUCCAUCCUUGUCAGUAGAGUGAUGAUGGAUGUGCUCAAAGUUUAGAGAAGAUUGAGUGGUAUGUCACUGCAAAUCUUUCUCAUAGAUUAUUCUAACACCACACUUCUUCACCUUGAAAGAAGGAAAACCAUCUGCGCCUUUGAAAGACAUCUCAAGCUUAUCGCAUUCAUGAUCAGAGCAAUCCAUUGUCCAUGCAUAUUGUAAUUCACGAGAGAAAUAACGAAGAAAAAGGUGGUUGUUCGUUAUGGGCUGCUCCUAUUCCCCACCUAAACCAAUGAAACUGGGAUCGACCGUUCGAGGAUGUUUAACUUGAAAAACAGAUCCAUUAUGACUAGAUUAUCGGGAAUUUCUAUAAUGGAUAUAAGUUAUACUACCGAUAACCCUUUCAUCGGAAAAUGCAGCAGAAAGCAACUCCAAUCCAAUUUGUUUGGUAUAUGUGAAACGUUUUGUGAGUUUGUUUUUUAAAAUAAAGGUAAAUUUUAACAAUUAUUUUUUAAUCAUUAUUAGUAAUAUAAUUGAAAUCACAUGCAAUAUAUGUGACAUUAGAAAGUAGUGAUUAUGAAAAAUUGGAAUGUGCAAUACUCUUGAUGUGUUUAGAAAAGGUUAUAGUUAUAGAAAAAAUUAUAUAACCAUCAUGGCAUUGGUUGAAUUUGUUAACUUAAAUGUUUUAGAAAUCCAAUGUUUUAGAUUUUAAUCUCAAUUUUUUAUGAAAAGAUAAAAAAAAAAUUACUAUAAUAAUAUUUGUUACUUUUAAAAGUAGUAAGUUUUUUAGUCAUUUUUUAAAUAAGUUAAUAUCUAAUUGACUUAUGACUGAUAAAUAAAGUAUAAUAUAAAGUAUGUUUGGUUAAAAAUAAAAUUAGAUGAAAAUGAUAUAUAUUUAAAUAUAGAAUAAAUUAAAUUUUAUAUAAUGUAAGUUAUUAAUAUAGUAAAAUUGGAAAUAAUUUAAAGAUAAUUAUUAUAUUAGAAAAUAUAGGCAUUAAAGUUGAGGCAUUUUAAGAAAUUUACCAAAUUUUAUAUAAUGUAAAUCAUAAAAACUGUUCCUUAAUACCACCGCGCACGAUUAGCGCUGUUGGAACCGUUAGUCCCCUGCUUUAACUUUACCUCCAUAACAUGCCGAGACCAUGAAAGGCACUCAUUCCUUAAUACCAUAUAUAGUUCCUGCAACGCCACUACUGAUAACAAAGGCAUUUCUAUUUUACCAAAGUUUCUAGCAGCCAUAGCAAAAAGAGUACCCCAAUCAGUUCCUUCCACAGAAAAAGUUCUUUGAGCUCCAGAGAAACUCAAUGCUCUCCCAUUUCCUAGCGCCCAAUGGACACCAUUUACUACAUCUUCCAAAAUAUUGGACAAAACCCUCCAGAGAAGCGAGCAAUUAGAAGGAUGUAUUGAAGCCGACCAUCUACUUAUUACCCCAUACUCGUUUCCAAGGACUUCAACCCAUAGCACAUUCACGUUAGAAAUGACAUUAAAAGCUACCUUAAUCAUGCAAGCUUUGUUGUGGUCUCGUACUUUCCUCAACCUAACUCUACCAUUCUUCAAAGGCAUACAAAAUUUAUACCAGCUCACUAAUGUUGGUUUCCGAUUGCCAAAUGUUGACCCCAAAUGAAUCCUCGAACCAGCUUCUCAUUUUUGUUGCAAUUGCUUAAGUGAUCACCUAAAACAAGACCGUACAAAGAUUGAUCGGUCUAAAAUGAGAUAGUAAUUCCUGUCUUGCCACCUUGGGAACCAACACAAUAAGAGUUUGAUUCAAAAUAGAAGCAAACAUUUGAUAAUUUCAUUCUAUUGGUUUUUAAUUUGAAUAGUUCAUUCAUUUAAAACAAUCAUAAUUGUGCAUCAAUUAUGAAAGAAGUCACAAGAAAAUUGUGCAGUAAUCAAAUGCAAUUUUCUUCACUUUUAUCACGUCUUUGAGUUGGAGGAAAAGAUGGUCCAAUUGAGAUAUACUUGAAAAGUUUAAUGAUGAAUGAAAUGAAUUCACUAUUAUGUUAUGUCAACACUGUUAAAUUAAUAGUUCAAUCAGCAUUUUGCGUUAAAAAAUUCAUAAUUUGACUCAAUAAAAUGUUGAGAGCCAAAUUACUAAGAGGAAAUGAAUACGGGUCAACUUGUCAAAUUUUAUAAACACUAAGAACUUUUUUUUUUAUCAUUAUGCCUAAUUUUAAAGGUUUUAUUUACAUUACAAUUAAAUUACUAUUUGAAUUUACAUUUUAAAAACAACGUUCAUUUCAAUAUGUAUAAUUUACAUUACAUUACAUGAUAAAAACAACUAAUUAUAUUUUGCUAAUUCCCUAAAUUCGUCCAACUUGAUGACUUUUGUUGGUCCCUCACUUGCAUGAUCCUUUGAGCAGACUUUCAUGCUUCUAUUGGUCUAGGGGACAAACAUAAAACACCAUCAUUAUUUUUGUUGCAUUGAGAUCAUCUAUAUUAAUUUACCUCAAAUUGAGAAAUUUUUGUUGAUAUCACAUAAAUACAAUCAUUGAAAAUCUUACUCGUAUCGACCAAAAAUCAUAUUUUUAUUUCUCUAAACAAUAAGUACAUUAGACAAUAACAAAAAUGAAAUUAUUGAAUUUUGAAAAAAAAAUAUUGGAUAUGAAAAUGUCUCUCACAUGGGAAAGAUUUUCCAAAUAAUUAAAAGAGCAUACUUUUUUUUUUAAUAUUUGAACAAGUGUUAAAAAUAAACGUCUAAACUUAAAUACUUUGUAAAAAAUAUAAAUUGAAGAGUUAGAAUAAUAUUGUUUAUACUUCAAGCCAUGAAAUUUAAAUGGUACUUUUGUUAGAAGGAAUUAAACCUACUAUUAAGGACUUAUAUUUAAUCUUCCAAAUAUAUAAGAAAACAAUUUUGACUGAUUAAAUUGAACACAUAAAUUGAUUUCAAAUAAAAAUAAAAUUGUUUUUAACUCAGCCGAAAUUAUGAUCUAAUCCUCAUUAAAGGAUUUUCACCUUAUUAUUACAACCUAAAAAUAAAAUAUAGAUGUAAGUGAAUUUAUAUAAUGAGAAUAAAGUUUUAAUAAAUAAAAAAAUAAACCAAUCAAAAUGUACACAUUUCAAUUAUGUAAAAAGGAAUGAAUUAAGUGAAUAAAAUUUUAAAUGGUAUUUUUUAAAAAAAAAUUAGUAUAUAAUAAAAUGGUCAUAUCUCAUAUGCAAAUAAGUCUAGAAUGAUUACUUUAAAUGAAAUAAAAGAUGUAAACAAGGUAGAUGAGUAAAAAAAAAUUUAGUAGGACAAGGUUGGUUAAGUAAUUUACCAUAGUUAAUGCGUCUUCCCGGAUUGGCCAAUUAUAAAAAAUUGAAAAAAAGUUGCAUCCGUUUUGGUUGCGGCCCUUCUUCCUCCUCUUCAUCGUAGAUAUUAGGUUUCUAUUUUAUGUGAGAAGUGCUACCUACUGAUCCAUGGUUGUGAGCAGAGUGUUGGUGGAUGUGUUCAAAAUUUGGAGAAGAUUGAGUGGUACGGCACUGCAACUCUUUUAUCUCUUCCAAAUCUUUCUCAUACACUAUUCUAAAGCCACACUUCUUCACUUUACCACUGCAUCCCAUGAAAGACACCUCAAGCUCAUCGCAUUUUUUAUCUAAGCAAUGUGUUGUCCAUAAAUUAGUGGUUUCACAGUCGUCAUAUUUAUCCUCCAAGGAAGGAUAUAUUGUAUCACGCGACCAAUAACGAAGUAAAAGGUGAUCUUUCAUUAUUGGUUCACACAGCCCCCAGCCUCUCCAAUCAAUCCGUCGAUAAUUUCUACCUCGAAAGAUAGAUCCAUUACAGCUGGCUUGUUCAGAAUUUCUACAAUAGAUAUAUGCUCCACAACCGAUAUAUUCGUCAUCCCUUGAAGCAUCAUUACUGACAAAAACGCAGCAGCAAGCAACUCCAAUCCAUUGACUAUCUUUCUGAAGGUUGAUAGGCAGGGGUAUGUUAAUUGAAAUGGCACUUGUUUGUUGGCUAAACCAUUCUGGGAUUUCACUUCCGGGCAUAAUAAUAUCAAACUUUUUUCUUGAAUUUGCGAAUGCCUGCAAAAUAAAACACAAGUCGUUUGGUAACUAAAACCAUAAAUUCUCAAGUACGUAUGAGAUUUUGUAAGGGAGAAAAUGGAGAUUAAUCGACCUUAAGCUGUUUUCUCAGCACUGUUAAUGCAUUCAUAUUCUCGGCCAAUUUGAAGCAGUUAAUGGCUCUAAAGGCACCCGAACCUAUUAAAUUGCAUACUUCACGUAGUGUUAAUGCAUUGAUAUUCUCAGCCAAUUUGAAGCAGUUAAUGGCUCUAACGGCAGCCGAAUCCACUAAAUUGCAUACUUCAAGUGAAGAACAACCAUCUAGACACACGUGUCCUAACCUUGUCGGUAUCUCAGGCAACGAUUUAAGCAUCUUGCAAUAUGACAGUCCAAGAAACUGAAGCUCGGAUAUUCGAGUAAGAGAUGAAGGUAUGCUGAUGAAAUUGUUACCACUAAGACCAAGAUGUACCAAAGAGGAUAGACCAGAAAUAUAACUAUGAAUAUCUGAUUCACCAAGAGUGCACAUGUUGCAAUUUGACAAGUCAAGAAACCCAAGCUUCGAGAGUCCAGUAAGAGAUGCAGGUAUGCUGAUGAAAUUGUUACCACGAAGAUCAAGAUGUUUCAAAGAGGACAGGCCAGAAAUAUCACGUGGAAUAUCUCCUUCACAAAGAUUGCAGUCCCUUAGACUUAGCCGUCUUAAUGAACUCAAACCUGACAACAAAGGCAACAUUGGAGCCAUGGGAGUUGUCCUUCUUUCUUGGAUUACCUUGAAAAGAGAAGACAAAUUUGGUCGCAACUUUGCUUGCUGCAAAUUCUCCGAGAAAUUUUCAACUCUAUAACAACCAGAAAGCUCUAGAGUUUUUAUACGUUCCAUUUUCCCAUCAAUCUCCGGAAACCUUACAAGACUUGAGCAACCCGAAAAAAUUAAAGUUUCAAGAGAUUCCAUUCUAAUUUUUCCCGGAAGACUCCUAAGACUUUUGCAAUCUCUUAAAUUCAAAUGUUUAAGGCUCUUAAGCACUCCUAUUGAUGGAUGAACAUCCACUAAUUUGGUACAGCCUUCCAAAAUUAAAACUUCAAGAUUUGAUGCUGUUGUGAAGUCUGGUGUCUUGAUCAGGUCUUGGGAACCUUUGAGGUUCAUUAUUUUCAACUUAUACAAGGGCUGUUGAAGACAAUAAUAAAUUAGAGAGAAAAGAGAAAGCAUAAUAAUUCUCAUUUUUGUUUUUGUAUUUUUACCUUAAUCAGAGUUUAAUAAUUUAUAUUAAAAUAAGCUAAAACACAAGGAUAAGAUGAGUUAAUUCUUACUCUAUUUCCCUUCCAUAGUUGUUUAAUGUGACUAUAUGGUAAAAGAAGUGCAACAAGGUUGUCUGGUUGGAAGCUUGAAGGCAAGCAUCUUAAAGGAUAUCCUGUCCAUUCUAAAAGCCGUAGUUUAUUAGAAAGAUAUUUGAGAUCAUCACAAUUUGAUAGGCAAAGCACUUUGAGCAUUCUCAAGUUUUUCAUCUUUGAGAAGGUAUCGACACUCAAAUUGAGCAUCUUGCUCGAUUCCCUAAUAACCAUGAGUAAAACAAAAAUGAGAUUCAAAAUAUACAAAGACAUUCAAUAUCUAAAAGUUAUGUUGCACCGAUAGAUGAUAAAUUUCAUUUGUAAUUAAAAAAAAUCAUUCCAAAUUGGAAUGAGAAGGAAGACAAUGGGAGAGAUUUUUUAUUUUCAAAUGUUUUAUUUUCUUUCCUUCUCACUUUUCGCUAUACCAAGCAAUAGUGAGGAGGAAAAUAUAUUUUCCAUUCAAUUUUCCAUCUUUCCAGUCAAGUUUUCCAUCCCCUCAGUUUUCCACCCUUCUGAUUUUAUUUCCACUCUGCCAAGCAAAGCCAAAAGGUUUUUUGUUGUUGUUUUUUAUUGGAAUUUUUACAACAAAUAAUAACAAUAUUAAUAGUACAUAUUGAUAAAUUUAUAUGUAUGUUUUCUUACCUUUUAUUGUCGAUGAUCAUACCUAUGUUUUCUUACCUUUUAUUGUCGAUGAUCAUACCUUCAAUCACUUCGGUAGCCUAAAAGUAAUCAAAAAUAGACAAUAAGAAUACAAAAUAAAUUAUCUAAAUUGUACAAUAAAACUUUUGAAAUUUACAUAUAUGUUCAACAUUAUCACAAUCUUUUGGUCGAAAUAUAGGAAAUAAAAUAUUUUCAAAUGAGAGUAAUUCAAUAAAAUUAAACACUUAUAUUACAAAUCAUUAUUAAUAUUUAUAAUCAACAAAUGGAAAUUAUUUUAAAGCCACUCAAUGUUAGUUAAGGAUCGAUAUCUAAACCAAUUAGACUAAGCUUUGGAUUUACAUCAUAUAUUGAUAAAAAGAAAAUUUUGUAUAUAUUUUUGUUGAAUAAUUUACCGUGUUUUUUGUUAGGACAUGAUGAACAUCCCUUUCUUUCCACAAUCUACAACGCUUUCCAGGUUCAUCAACACAUUUUUCUUCAACAAUUUUUCUUCCCAUUUCUUGCAACAAGGCAUGCAUCCGCAAAUGUUGGUUGUCAUCACUAACUUUUAUGAGAGAUUUCUUAAUGAGAAUAUCGAUUCCAAUGUCUGGAAAAAACUCACAACCAUCCAAUACUUUCAUUACCAAAUCUCUCUUCUCACCAUUGAAAAAGCAUGCUAUAUCUAGAAAUAUAUUCUUCUCCUUUUCUUCCAAUCCAUCAAAGCUAAUUCUUAGCGCGUUAAGAAUUUCUUUGUUAGAAUCUUCUUUAAGUCUUUCGAUUGCACUUCUCCAUUGAACUAUAUCUCUAUCGCACAAAAAUGAACCCAAAACUUCAAGAGCUAAGGGGAGACCACCAGCAUAACAUACAACAUGUCCAGAAAGCUCAAUGAAAUCAUCUUUUGGCACUGUAUCACUAUGGAAAGCUUUCAAAUUGAAAAGUCUAAGUGCAUCGUCUGGAUUCAAUGUUUUAGGCUUAUACACACCAUCGACUCCGUAAGAUCGGAGUAAAUGCUCAUCUCUUGUUGUUACAAUGAUUCGACUCCCUAAACCAAACCAAUCACGCCUUCCAACCAAGCAUUUCAAGUGUUGUACAUUAUCAACAUCAUCAAGAACAACAAGAACCUUUUCACUAGACAACCUGCGGCUAAUUAUGGCAUUCCCUUCAUGAACAUUGAAAAAAUUGAAGCAUUCAUUUGGCAAGAUUUGAGAAAGAAGUUGUUUCUGUAAAGGAACAAGUCCGCAUUUGUUUGAAACUUCUCGAAUAUCAGCAAGAAAGCUUUUGCCUUCAAAAUGAGGUGACAUUUGAGUGUAAACAACCCUCGCAAGAGUUGUUUUACCGAUGCCACCCAUUCCGCAAAUUCCUAUAAUGCGGACAUCAUCUUCCCCUAUGUUUAUUUUCGAAUACAACUCCUUCAAAGGUAAGCUAAUUCCAACCAAUUCAUCAUGAACAAUUGGAUAUGUCUGACAUAAUUUGGCUGAUAUCUUCCUAACAAUGUCUCCGAUAAACUCUGGUUCAUUCCUACAAUGAAAUAAAAAAUUGUUUCUAUCUCUCAGAGGCUCUUUUUCAUUUUUAGUUCAAUGAAUCAUGAAAUAUAAUAUAGUUGGAAGCAAAGAAAAAGCAAGAAUAAGACAGUAAGAUAUAUUAUGGCAUCAAAAUACACAACUUUCUCGUUAGAAUUCUUAAUUAAACACAAAAUUAUAAAAAAUUACAUGCAAUCUAGAAAAAAACAAUUUUUUAGUCAUUAAAAUUAGGAAAUAGAGAAGAAAUGAAAGAAUCAUUCCUUAUGUAAAUGCCAUCCUUAAUCUUAAAACUUCAGUCAAAGCAUUUCGCCACUUUUGGAUCUUGUCUUUAUCUUCCUUGUACCUCUCUUCAUGUUUGGCAAAGGCUUCUUCUACUUUUUCUUUUUGGUUUCUUAAAUCGGAUGGAUCCACAUGGUAGAAAAUUGGAAAUACUUUAUGUCCGUUAGCAUUUUUUUGUUGAACAAUCUCAGCAAGCUCCUCCAAGCACCAUCCUGAAAGGGCAUAGGUUUUUGAGAAAAUAAUUACCGAGCACCAUGAUUGCUGAAUUGCUUUGGAGAGUUCGGGUGCGAUCUCUUCGCCAGCCUCCAGCUUUGGAUCGUCCCUGAAGGUGACGAUCCCACUACUCUUUAGAGCAUCAUACAGAUGACCCGUGAAGUUCUUGCGAGUAUCUUCACCUCUAAAACUCAAGAAAACAUCAUAUUUCUUUCUAGAAAUGGGCGAAGAAGUCGAAGGUAACGACAGCAUGAGGAUGUAUGAAAGGAGAAGAAUAUCUCUAUCUGGUGUUCAAAAUCAGAAAAUAGAUCGCCCGAUACUCCCAAAGAAACUAGAAAAAGUAAGUAUAUGAGCAUAGGGGCGGAAAUUAGGGGUCAAAGAUGAGUGAUGGAUGUUCUUUCCAAGAAGAAUCCAAGAAGGUGAGAGUUGGCACAGUGGAGGCUAUUAAAAAUGUUGGACGGUUUGUAUUUUACAUAUUUAAUAAUUAUAGAGUAGAUAAGAUUAUGACAAUAAUAAUUAGAAUAUAUCUUUAAUAAUUAUCCUUCGUUAUGGGCUGGUUAAAAAGUUUACCAAACAACCAACUACUCGCAUCGACACGUGGAAAACUUCUAUCUCGAAAGACAGAUCCAUUUCGACUGGCUUGUCCAGAAUUUCUGCAAUGGAAGCAUCAUCACUGACAAAAAUGAGACAGGAAGCAACUCCAACCCGUUGACCAUUCUGAAUAUUGAGUGGUAGAGGUAUCUAAUUGUAGAGCCACCACUCUGUUGGCUAAACCAUUCUGGGAUUUCACAUCCAGGUACAAUAACAUCAAACAUUUGUCUUGAAUUUGCAAAUGCCUGCAAAAUGAAACUUCUGUCGCUUGGUAAAUAAAACCAGAAAUUCCCAAGUAUGAGAGGGAAAGAAAGAGAGAUUAAUUAAACUUGAGAUGUAUUUUCAACAAUGUUAAUGCAUUGAUGUUCUCAGCCAAUCUGUAGCAGUUAAUGGCUUUAAUGGAAGCUAAAUCCAAUAAAUUUCAUACUUUUGAUGGACUUGCAACUACUUCAAGUGAAGCACAACCAUCUAUGCACACUCUUGCUAUACUUGUUAGAAGCUCAGGCAACGAUUUAAGCUCAUUGCAAUUUCAUAACAUAAGCUCUUUGAGUAAGAGACGCAAGUAUGCUGAUGAAAUUGUUACCACUAAGAUCAAGAUCUGUCAAGGAGGAUAGGCAAGAAAUAUCACUAGGAAUAUCUCCUUCACGAAGAUUGCAGUCCCUUAGCUUUAACUCUCUUAAUGAACUCAAACUUGACAACGAAGGCAACGUUAGAGGCAUAAAACUUGUCCUUCCUUUUUGGGUUUCCUUGAAAGGAGAAGGAAGAUUUUGUUGUAACUUUGAUGGUCCCUUGCAUCCAUUGAAAGACAGAGCUUUAAGAUUUUUCAAUUGAAAAAUUAAGGAUGGUGGUUCUCUUAUGCUUGUUUUAGCUCUUCCAAAUAUUCUACUUGCUUCAUAUUCUCUGGCAAAUUUUUAACUUCACAACAACUAGAAAGAUUAAGAGUUUUUAGACCACCUAUUUUCCCUUCGAUCUCCAAAAACCUUACAAGAUUUGAGCAACCCAAAAGAAUUAUUGUUUCAAGAGAUUCCAUUCCAAUUUUGGUUGGAAGACUCCUAAGACUUUUGCACCCUCUUAAAUUCAAAAGUUUAAGCCUCCUAAGUACUCCCAAGGAUGGAUGACUUCUACAAUUCUUGUACAACCUUCCAAAACCAGAAUUUCAAGAUUUGGGGCCAUUGUGAAGUCCGGUGUCUUGAUUAGGUUUAGGGACACUUCAAGGUUGAUCACUUUCAACUUAUACAUAGGCUGUGAAAAACAAUAAUAAAUUAGAGAGAAAAGAGAAAAAAUAAGAAAACUUAUUUUUGUUGUUUAUUUUUUAUCUUAAGCUAAAAAAUAAGGAUUGGGUGAAUUAAUUUUACUCUAUUUCCCUUCCAUAAUUGUUCAAUGCUAUUGAAUGGUAAGAGAAGUGCAACAAGGUGGUCCGGUUGGAAGCUUAAAGACAAGGAUCCUAAAGGAUAUCCUAUGUAAUCUAAAAAUAGUUUUUCCAUUGAAAGAUAUUUGAAAUCAUCACAAUUUGAAGGCCAAAAGACUUUGAGUAAUUUCAACUCUUUUAUUUUCGAGAAGACAUCAACAUUCAAAUUAAGUGUCUUGAUCGAUUCUCUAAUAACCAUGGACAAAACAAAAAACUUAGCUUCAAAAUAUACAAAAGCAUUAAUACCUAAAAACCAUGUUGCCACGAUACUUUUUUUAAGUAUCCUAUAAGGUAUAUCUAAAUAUGGGCAUUAAGAUAUGACUCUUCAAGAAUUCUUUAAUACAUGAAAAAAUCUUUUGAAAAAUGAACAUACCCAUUUUGAACAGUUAACACGCACAAUUGACUCCGAAUUACCUAAACCUAAAAGUAUUAGAACUAAAAUUUUCAAUUAUAUUUGGUGCACUCGUAAUAUAUAAUUUUAUGCAUUAUUAGUGAACUAAAUGGAGACGCAUAAUUAAGGAUGAAAUUACUUGAAUUUAUUUUAAUAAAAUUUAAUGACAUGUUAUAAUCUAGUUUAUAUAUUGUCAAUUUAUCAAAUAUAAACUUUUAUUUUUCAUAAAAAAGAAACAUCUCUCUCUAUUUUUAUUUUUUUUAGAAAGAAUAAUGUGUUACUUGAUAAAUUCAUAAAUUAGCAUUCAAAUAUUAAGUACUAAGUGUUUUUUUUUUCACUAUAUAUUUUUUACAAAAUAAAACUAAAUAAUAACAAUAUUAAUAAUACACAUCGAUAAAAGUAGAUAUAUACUUUCCUACCUUUUAUUGUCGAUGAUCAUGCCUUCAAUCAAUAAAUAGGUUUUUUCUCAAAGCUAGUGAAUAUCACUUUUUAGGGAUUGUUAUAUAGAUGAAUUAGAAUAAACUUUAAGUUUAUAUUAUAUAUUGGUUAGAGAUCCAAUAAAAAAAAUUAGUAUGUAAAUUUUGUGGAAUGGCUUACACUGUUUUUUGUUAAGACACAAUGGAUGUCCCUUUUUUCUCACAAUUUGUAAUGUUUUUUCGGUUCAUCAACAUAUUUUUCUCUAUUAAUUUUUCUUCCCAUUUCUUGCAACAAGUCAUGCAUCCAAAAAUAUAUGUGUGUUCAUUGAAGAUCUUUCUCUUCUCCAUUGAAGAAACAUGCUAUAUCUAGAAAUAUAUUAUUCUCCCUAAUUUCUUCCAAUCUAUCAAAGCUUAUUUGACGUCUAUUGAGAAAUUCCUUAUUAGAAUCUAGUUUAAGUCUUUCGAUUCCACUUCUCCACUGAAAAGCAUCUCUACUGCACAAAAAAGAACCCAAAACUUCAAGAGUUAAGGGGAGACCACUAGCAUAAUGUACAGCAAGUUUAGAAAGGACAAAAUUGUAACAAUUUGGACUAAUUUGAAUAAAAUUAAGAACAUAGAUAGUGAUGCUCCAAAGGGAAUAUUAAGAUAAAGUGAGACCGAAAGGUAAUCUUGUCGUGCACCUGUUCAUUAGUCCCGGAUUAACUGGUAAGAUUGGAAGAUAAACUAGACCUAAUCUGUCUAAGUUGGCAAAAUUAAGACCGGAAGAUAAAAUAGAGCCACUUGGUAAUUAUGUGAUUUAUGUCAUUGGUCCAAGAUUUGGUGAACCACAUCGAAGUCAACCAACCCCUAUUAGUCAUUUGCUAGAUUGUCCUUCUAGUUUACAUUUCUUGUAAUUUAGUCCCUAGAGUAGAAUAUUUAAUUUUCUUGUAAACUUAUCUUUUAUGAAUCACCGUAAUAUAAAAUUGUAUCAAUAGCCACUUAGCCUCUAUUGUGUACGUUAGUUAUUGCUCAAUCGCCUAUUCCUUUGGGUUGAAUCCUUAGAAUACUUUUGCAUUUCAUUAUAACACUAUAAAUAUAAAUAUUAAAACUGACCUGUACGCUUGCAGUAAAAUUGGGCUUUUAAAAUAGUUAUAUAAAUUUAGUGUUUUAAGCACACGCAUGCAACCGGUCAGUAGUCAAUCUCACCCCAUUAGCCACCAUGACAUGAAGUUGACUAAAGUGCUCCACUAAUAAAUCCAACCUCUUAACCAGCUUAGAAUCUAGAAAAUUGUGUGUACUUCUUGAGUCAACCAGGAUAAUGACAUUGGAGUGACCAAUACUUGCUAAAAACUGCAUAGAAUUAUGUCUCUAUAAGCCUUGAAGGGCGUGUAAGGAUAAAACGGGGGCAGUGUGUUUCGUUUCCUAUUCUAACACUUUCAGUUGUUCAGGACAUUCUUGGAAUUCUUCAAACAUUGGACUCUUGCUUCCACCCUCAUGAUCUGAAUAAAGUUCCAGAACCAGCUGAUAAAGUUGAGACUUGGUGCACUUAUGACCUGGGGUGUAUUUGGAUGCACACCGAAAGCAAAGUCCCUUCUUUCUUCUCUCUUCUAUUUCAGCUUGAGAAAAGGGUUUGGUUUGGAAUUUUUACCCCGAGUUACUAUUUGGAGGUCCAUUUAGCCUUAUCGAGUUACAGUGGUGAUAUUGCACCUUGGGACCAAGAAUUAGGGGGCUAAGGUGACUUAUUCCCCCACUUACAUUCAAACUCUUCUUUGUGAACUUAGCCACAAUGCGUUCAACCUAUCGAGCUAUUUGAUAGUCUUCCACCAGUGUUUGAGCCUUGAACAACCGUAGAUACUACCCCAUCUCAGGUUUAAGAUUGCAAGUGAAAACACUAAGGACGUAAUCCUCAGUUAGAUGUAACUGAUUAAGCAAACUUACAAAACGGUCAUGGAAUUGGUCCAUUGACCCUUUCUCCUUGAGUGAAAUAUGUCCUAACAUGGGGUCUAAGAAGGAGUUAGAUCUAAAACGAUCCCUCAGCCCUCGAACAUAUAUCUCCCAAGUCAGGUGAUGUAAUCCCCCUGUCAUUGCACAAAAGUGAUGCCAAUCUAGGCCUUUACCUUCUAAGUGCAACAUUACCAUUCUAACAUUGGUCUACUUUAUUAUAUUUGCAGCUUCAAAGAAUCGUUCUAACUUGGACCACCAAUCUUGAUAAUCUGUCCCAUCAAAUCAUGGGCAUUCUAGCCGAAGAGUUUUACUGACAAAGUCCACAAGACCAACUUGAGAAAAAGUAUUCAUGUUUUCCAAAUCCGACACAGGUGAUAAUGUAAGUGGCUUUUUGGAAGGGAACUUAGGAGGAGAGCCUCCCAUAAUGCCCUUGUCUUGAACUCUUCCAGUUACACUGGUAGAAGCAUUUUGACCAAAAUAGUGUUCAAAAAGAGAGUGGAGUUCAGUUUGAAUCUCACCUUUGAUACUUUCAUGAAAAUCCUUUAACCGAGAUUCGAUCUUAGCAUCAAUCUAGCUAACCUCUAAUUGCAUCUGAGAGAGCUCGUGUUGCAGCACUCCCAUCUUUUUUUGUAACCUGGUGGUGACUCUAUCAUUUGCCAUAAAAAUCGGCUUCAGCUCUAAUACCUUUGUCAUGGGAAAAUCUUUAGGGCAGAAGAGAAAUUGGAUAGCAAGAGGAAGAAAAAGGAGUUGAGAGAAAUCAGAGAGAUAGAAGGAAAGAGAGAACUGUAUUCAUUCCAAUAGCUGCCUUCCCCUACCUUGAUUGGUGUUUUUAGGGCGGGUAACGACCCUCUCAAACAAAUUGACGGUUGUUAAUACAACUAUAGCAAAACGCACCAUUUUUUAGUAAAUGACAAAACGUCUCUAAACGCAGUCGUUUGGACCAUAUUUAACCCUCCCCCCUUAAACCUGUUGUUUCAUUAUAACAUUAAACUAAACGUUGUGUUUUACAAUAAUUAAGGCUAAAACAGAAGUAAACAGAAAUUAACAGAAAUUUAAACAUAAUUGUUGUCUUUAGUUCUAUUCCGUGACAUGCAAUCCUUUCACCGCCCUCUAGCCUCGGCUCAUCCCUAAAAGUGAUGAUUCCAUUCCUUUUUAGAGUAUCAUAAAGAUGAUCGGUGAAGUUCUUGUGAGCAUCUUCACCUUUAAAACUCAAGAAAACAUCAUAUCUAUAUCUAGAAAUGGAUGAGAAAGACAUGAGGAUGCCUGAGAAGAAAAAUAUAUCUCAAUCGAGCGUUCAAAAUCAAAACAAUAUUUCCCAUCAUUUAUUUUUCCAAAUGAAUAUGGAUAAUAAUAAUAUUAAAGCUUUUAAUCAAUUGUACAUAUCCUUUAUUAAAUUCCCAAUUUUUUUUGUAUUAAAUAUUACAAAAUCAUUCAGAUUCUCUUAAUAUGCUAAUCAAUUCUUGUUGGCUCAAAAAAAAAAAACAUUUUUGUACACGUAGACAAAUAUAUUGAAAAUUUGUCGUGAAUAUCAUGCCACCACCUCAUGAUAUUCAAUAAAUUAUUAAAUUUUGGACAGAAAAUUCACCAACCAAAGAUGAAAAAGUAAUUUUAAUUUGUAAUUCAAAUUAUUAAAUUUUAUCAGUAUUUUCUACAUUUUUCUAAUGUUUAAAGUAUUUAGGGUAUCAAAUGUGUAAUAUAUCCAUCAAAAUGUUCUGUUUUUUAAUUAUAUAAACCCCCAAAAAAAUUAAACAAAAACCAGAUAAUCCAUUCCUACAAGAUAAUCCACUCCAUUGAUUUGUGAUUUUGAGAUUUUAAUUUAAAAGAUAAAUAUCGAAAUAUAUAAUUUUUUAAAAAAUUAAAAACUGAGACCAGUAUAAAAUUAUUUAUCUCAGAUGGAAUGCUCGCUUAGGUGAUAUUUUAUUAGGAUCAGAUAAACGAUCUCAUCGAGAGAGAGAGUCAUCACAGGAUGGAUGAUUGGGAUUGGUAGACGAUGAGACUCCAUGAGUGUGGAGCCUUCCUUGAGUGGACAACGGCAGCGUUGGGUUCACACCUGCGCUUGGAGAGGACUUUGAAGCCUUCACAAAUCAUGUAAAGAAAUGAAAGAAAAUGAAGAAAAUGUUAAAAGCAUGUGCCAAACGUACCAUGAUUAGGGAAAUGAGAUACAACAUUACAAAGCAUGAGUCCAACUAAUAAAAUUAAAGCUGACUUGAAUUUUAUAGGAUGGGAUAAUUUCAUUUUCGGUCCUCUAUAAUCUGCACUAUAUGCGUAGCUCCUGAUUUUAUGUUAUGUUAUGUUAUUUAUUUAAUUCAAUCCCUACCGUUUUUUAGUUUUUUCUUAAUUAGUAUUUGUGACUCUUAACAUUAUUAUUGUAGGUAUUUAGAUAAUAUUUUUACUAUUUGUAUUUAUAAUUUAUUUUAAAUAUUAGAAGCUAUUAUUCUCUUAUCUUUAAUUACUUUUAAUAAUUUUGAACUGUUAUUAAACAAGUGCAAUCUAUUACACAUUAUAUUGUCAAAUAUAUUUCACGUGAUUAAAUUUUAUAAAAAUGAUAUGUAUAAAUUUGAAAUUUAUUUUUUCUACUUUUAUUUGUAAGAAUUUAAUUUAUUUAUUUUUAAAAUUUUAAAAUUCAGAUUUAAUUGUUAACACAAAUUUUUCCUUAAAUUUAUGUGAUAUUUUGAAAUUAAAAAAAAUACACAUUCACUUUCUAGAAAAAGUUGAAUUGGAAUUAUGGUAGAUAAAACGAAUGAAGCAUGAAGAUCACCGUGUGCCAAAUCCAACCACCUUCCUUUUCUUAUACAAAAUUUUAAAGAGUUUCACAAUGAUGCCCUCAAGAAAAGAAAGUAUACAUCAAAGGAAAAAGGAAUUGUGUAAUGAGCGAUGUCAGCUUCACCGAUUAUUUCUUCUUAUCACAUGCCAAAGCAAUUUCCUUGUACAGACUGGGAAAACUCCUGGAAUUUCGUCUAAGUUUGAACGAGGUCGAGUUUUAUAUAAUACUGGACUACCAAGUGUAUGAAGUCGACCAAACACAGAUUACUUCGUCUGUAAUAAAUAAUUAUCAUAAUGUCGUGUUUGAUAAUGCUUGUGUUGCUGCUUUUCCUCCUGGUUGUUGCAUCUUCAGAUAUCAACCAGGGCCAGUUUAGUUUCAAUGGUUACUUGAAUGUCGAGGGAGUUGCAGGCGUAGAUUCAAGUGGGCUGUUUACACUUACAAAUACCACAAGCCGAAUAAUUGGUCAGUUCUUCUACCAGAAUCCGAUCCAGUUCAAGAACUCCACAAAUGCAACUGUUUCCCCCUUCCCCACUACAUUCAUUUUUGCAAUUGUACCUGGAUACACCGACCUUGGUGGCCAUGGAUUGGCCUUCGUUAUCUCCCCUAACGAUGAAAUUUCUGGAGCUCUUCCCACCCACUAUCUCGGUCUUUUCAAGGAAACAAACAUAGGCUUAGACUCGAACCAUGUUGUAGCGAUUGAGCUGGGCACGGCCCGGACCAUUGCGGUCGGUGACAUAGACGGCAACCACGUCAGCAUCGACAUCAAUAGCCCAAGAUCAGUGACAGCUGCUUCUGCUGGGUAUUUCACUGAUGAAAGUGAGUUCAAAAAUCUCAACCUCAAGAGUGGAGAUCCAAUGCAGGUUUGGGUUGAAUACGACGGGCUCUAGAAGCAACUCGAUGUUACAUUGUACCCAAUCAAUGUAACGAAGCCAAAACCUCACUUUUAUACUUGAAAAAGGAUCUGUCUCCAUAUUUGUAUGAGUCUAUGUUUGUCGGCUUCUCGUCGUCCACCGGUGUUCUUGUAUCGUCGCACUACAUAUUGGCUAUUCUAAGGACAUGAUUUUUUUUGCAUCUCAAUCAAAGGUUUGAAAAGUUGAAUUCUUUGAGGUGCCCAUUCAUUAGACUAAGAAAGCUGAAAAGUUGAAAUUAUAUUUAUCAAAACAUAUCAUUUUUUAUUUAUAUCAAGGAUUUUAUCAUGUUAGUAUUAUGAACACGAAUAUAAUGAAUACUAAAUUAUGGUAAAUAAGAAUUUAUUUGUACGAUCAAACAAAAAAAGGGGAAAAAAUCAGAAAAGAGAAAGUUAUAAAAUUAACUAAAUAGGGGAAAAAAUAGUGAAAAGGCUAGUGAAGUAGUUUACCACAUUUAAUGCUUCUUCCCUGAUUUGGCAAUUAUAAAAUUGAAAGUUUUUUGCAUCCGUUUUGGUUGCGGCCCUUCUUCCUUCGCUUCAUCAUAGAUAUUAGGUUUCUGUUUUAUGUGAGAAGUCCUAUCUACUGAUCCAUCGUUGUGAGCAGAGUGUUGGUGGAUGUGAGAAGAUUGAGUGGUAUGUCACUGCAACUCUUUUAUUUCUUCCAAAUCUUUCUCAUACACUAUUCUAGCACCACACUUCUUCACCUUAGCAUAGUCUUCAUCAUUUGGGUUUGAGAAAAACACCUCAAACUCAUCACAUUUUUCAUCUGAGCAAUCUGUUGCCCAUAAAUUAUUGGUUUCACAAUGACCAUAUUUAUCCUCCAAUGAAAAUGGAUAUAAUUUAUCACGCGACCAAUAACGAAGAAAAAGGUGAUCUUUCAUUACGGGCCCGUUAUAUCGUUUACCUAAACACCAGCCGAGCCUAUCAACCACUCGAGGGUUUCUACCUCGAAAAAUAGAUCCAUUACAACUGGCUUCUUCAGAAUUUCUACAAUAGAUAAAUGCUCCACAACCGAUAGACUCGUCAUCCCUUGAAGCAUCAUUAUUGACAAAAAUGCAGCAACAAGCAACUCCAAUCCAUUGACUAUCUUUCGAGACGGGUAUCUUAAUUGAAGAGUCACUUCUUUGUUGGCUAAACCAUUCUGGGAUUUCACUUCCAGGCAUCAGAAUUUCAAACAUUUUUCUUGAAUUUGCGAAUGCCUGCAAAAUAAAACACAAGUCGUUUGGUAACUGAAACCAUAAAUUCUCAAGUAUGAGAUUUUGUAAGGGAGAAAAUAGAGAUUAAUCGACCUUAAGAUGUUUUUUUAGCAGUGUUAAUGCAUCGAUAUUUUCAGCCAAUUUGAAGCAGUUAAUGGCUCUAAUGAUACCCGAAUCCACUAAAUUGCAUACUUUUGAUGGACUUGCAACUACUUCAAGUGAAGAGCAAUCAUCUAUACGCACAUCUGCUAUACUUGUUAGAAGCUCUGGCAACGAUUUAAGCAUCUUGCAAUUUGAUAAUGCAAGGAAAUCAAGCCUGCUAAGUUGAGUAAGAGCCAAAGGAAUGGUGAUGAAAUUGUUACCCGUAAGAUAAAGAUAACUCAAAGAGGAUAGACCAUGAAUAUCUGCUUCACCAAGUGUGCACAUGUUGCAAUAUGACAAAUCAAGAAACCGAAGCUUCGAGAGCCCAGUAAGAGAUGCAGGUAUGCUGGUGAAAUUGUUACCACCAAGAUCAAGAUGUUUCAAGGAGGAUAGACUAGAAAUAUCACGUGGAAUAUCUCCUUCACAAAGAUUGCAGUCUCUUAGUUUUAGCUUUCUUAAUGAACUCAAACCAAACAGCGAAGGCAACAUCUGAGGCAUGGGAUUCUUCCUUCUUCCUACGAUUACCUUGAAAAGAGAAGACAAAUUUGGUCGUAACUUUGCUUGCUGCAAAUUCUCUGACAAAUUUUCAACUCUAUAACAACCAGAAAGAUCUAGAGUUUUUAGACGUUCCAUUUUUCUAUCAAUCCCCGGAAACCUUACAAGACUUGAGCAACCCGAAAGAAUUAAUGUUUCAAGAGAUUCCAUUCCAAUUUUGGUUGGAAGAUUCCUAAGACUUUUGCAAUCUCUUAAAUUCAAAAGUUUAAGGCUGUUAAGCACUCCGAUUGAUGGAUGAACAUCCACUAAUUUGGUACAACCUUCCAAAAUCAAAACUUCAAGAUUUGAUGCUGUUGUAAAGUCUGGUAUCUUGAUCAGGUUUUGGGACCCUUUGAGGUUCAUUAUUUUCAACUUAUACAAGGGCUGUUGAAGACCAUAAAUAAUUAGACAGAAAACAUAAUAAUGCUAAUUUUUGUAUUCUUUACCUUAACCAAAGUUUAAUCAUUUAUAUUAAAAUAAGCUAAAA
RNAcentral lists this long non-coding RNA (33596 nucleotides) under Gossypium raimondii (Peruvian cotton). RNAcentral describes it as "long non-coding RNA (GRAI_LNC005953)". Lineage: Eukaryota; Viridiplantae; Streptophyta; Magnoliopsida; Malvales; Malvaceae. The record is from RNAcentral.